RNAcentral lists this transfer RNA (81 nucleotides) under Candidatus Omnitrophota bacterium. RNAcentral describes it as "Candidatus Omnitrophica bacterium tRNA-Leu". It matches the Rfam family "tRNA". Rfam says of the family: Transfer RNA (tRNA) molecules are approximately 80 nucleotides in length. Their secondary structure includes four short double-helical elements and three loops (D, anti-codon, and T loops). Lineage: Bacteria; Pseudomonadati; Candidatus Omnitrophota. The record is from RNAcentral.
GCGCGGGUGGCGGAAUGGCAGACGCGCUACUUUGAGGGGGUAGUGGGGCGACCUGUGAGGGUUCAACUCCCUCCCCGCGCA